Molecule: non-coding RNA, 254 nt
Organism: Cajanus cajan (pigeon pea)
Lineage: Eukaryota; Viridiplantae; Streptophyta; Magnoliopsida; Fabales; Fabaceae
Source: RefSeq, a predicted model, not a curated record
CACUUAUUUGGCACAAAAUCGCAUACAAAACAAAGCCUUUUUCCUUAGAAGAAACCUGUUGAAAGGUAGUAAUUAAGAUGGCACUUGCAGCUUCCACCCAGAUUGAAGUACCUGACAUCGCACGACCUCGGGCAGAUUUUCCUCCAAACAUUUGGGAGGAUAUUUUCCUUCAAUAUGAUUCAGAAUCUUUGGAAGUCAGUGAAAAUGUGAAGCAACAUGCUCAAACACUAAAAGAGGAGGUGAAAACAAUGUUU